UUACUGUCUAACUCGUUGUCUCUGGUAAUAAAACUUCAGUAUCCGAAAUAGAUUUUCUAGACUAAGAAUUUCUCAUGGCAAAGCUACUAAGGAUCGUGGCAAGGCUGUUAUGGAUCAAGGUGAAGGUGUAAAGGAAUACGAUUUACCUCAACCUGUUUAAAUCUGUUGAAUCCUUCUCUUCUUUCUGCGUAUACCCCCCCUUGCUUCGCACUGCC
This 215-nucleotide long non-coding RNA is filed under the name Solanum tuberosum (potato). RNAcentral describes it as "long non-coding RNA (STUB_LNC009162)". The record is from RNAcentral. Lineage: Eukaryota; Viridiplantae; Streptophyta; Magnoliopsida; Solanales; Solanaceae.